AGAAAGUAGCUUGCUACUUUGCUGACGAGCGGCGGACGGGUGAGUAAUGCUUGGGAACAUGCCUUGAGGUGGGGGACAACAGUUGGAAACGACUGCUAAUACCGCAUAAUGUCUACGGACCAAAGGGGGCUUCGGCUCUCGCCUUUAGAUUGGCCCAAGUGGGAUUAGCUAGUUGGUGAGGUAAUGGCUCACCAAGGCGACGAUCCCUAGCUGGUUUGAGAGGAUGAUCAGCCACACUGGGACUGAGACACGGCCCAGACUCCUACGGGAGGCAGCAGUGGGGAAUAUUGCACAAUGGGCGCAAGCCUGAUGCAGCCAUGCCGCGUGUGUGAAGAAGGCCUUCGGGUUGUAAAGCACUUUCAGUCAGGAGGAAAGGUUAGUAGUUAAUACCUGCUAGCUGUGACGUUACUGACAGAAGAAGCACCGGCUAACUCCGUGCCAGCAGCCGCGGUAAUACGGAGGGUGCGAGCGUUAAUCGGAAUUACUGGGCGUAAAGCGUACGCAGGCGGUUUGUUAAGCGAGAUGUGAAAGCCCCGGGCUCAACCUGGGAACUGCAUUUCGAACUGGCAAACUAGAGUGUGAUAGAGGGUGGUAGAAUUUCAGGUGUAGCGGUGAAAUGCGUAGAGAUCUGAAGGAAUACCGAUGGCGAAGGCAGCCACCUGGGUCAACACUGACGCUCAUGUACGAAAGCGUGGGGAGCAAACAGGAUUAGAUACUCUGGUAGUCCACGCCGUAAACGAUGUCUACUAGAAGCUCGGAACCUCGGUUCUGUUUUUCAAAGCUAACGCAUUAAGUAGACCGCCUGGGGAGUACGGCCGCAAGGUUAAAACUCAAAUGAAAUUGACGGGGGCCCGCACAAGCGGUGGAGCAUGUGGUUUAAUUCGAUGCAACGCGAGAAUCUUUACCUACACUUGACAUACAGAGACUUACUAGAGAUGGUUUGGUGCCUUCGGAGCUCAUGAUACAGUGCUGCAUG
RNAcentral lists this ribosomal RNA (976 nucleotides) under Pseudoalteromonas distincta. Its description in RNAcentral is "bacterial SSU rRNA". It matches the Rfam family "Bacterial small subunit ribosomal RNA", at positions 70 to 1047 of the family's 1533-position model. Lineage: Bacteria; Pseudomonadati; Pseudomonadota; Gammaproteobacteria; Alteromonadales; Pseudoalteromonadaceae. The record is from RNAcentral.